This 253-nucleotide ribosomal RNA is filed under the name uncultured bacterium. RNAcentral describes it as "partial 16S ribosomal RNA". It matches the Rfam family "Bacterial small subunit ribosomal RNA", at positions 524 to 776 of the family's 1533-position model. The record is from RNAcentral.
UACGUAGGGGGCAAGCGUUGUCCGGAGUUACUGGGCGUAAAGGGCACGCAGGCGGUUCGGCGCGUUUCCGGUGCCAGCCUUUCGCUUAACGAGGGGAGUGCCGGGAAGACGGUCGGACUUGAGAGCCUCAGAGGAACCUAGAAUUCCGGGUGGAGUGGUGAAAUGCGUAGAGAUCCGGAGGAAUACCAAAGGCGCAGGCAGGGUUCUGGGAGGCGACUGACGCUGAGGUGCGAAAGCCAGGGGAGCGAACGGG